CUCAUUUCGGCAGCCUUCCGACUUGCAACGACAUCGCACCAAGACGAGAACAUAUUACCACCACAAGAGCUGCAUGGAUCCAAGACGAGAAUCAUAUCCAAUCCAAGUUAAAAAUCGAAAAUCAAAAGUCAAAAAUAGAACAUCAACAAUCACUAGACAUUACAAAAGCAGAGGACUUUUAGGAAACGCAACCGCAGAGAAAGGAAAACAAAAACAGACAAAUAUAUAAUUCAAUCCAGGAGAAAUAUUGCCCAGACACUCAAACACGACUAUAACUAAACAGACUUUCACUUGUGCAAACAACAACGAGAUUUGAUCGAUGGCAACGCUUUAUUACGUUUUGAAGACUUGGCCUUUUCUCAAGCUUGCUAGAACUGGAACUGGAACUUGUAGUGUAUCUUAAAUGGUCGAGUCAUCACCAGGAUAUGGCGAAUAGGGCUUCAAGGAGAGGCAUAGGCUAGAGAAAGCUUGAUAUUUGUAUAGGCUGACUGGGGACAGACCUGGUAGUCAAUAGGCGUCAGGGCGGCUGUUCUAAUUUCUGGCGAGGCUGAUCCAGAGGUACUGUCGGAAACGGUGUCAAACAUUUCGAUAAAGCGCGAUCCGCAUGCUAUGGGGAUCAAUGCUGAGUCGGUAACAAGUCCCAUUGUGGUGGUCUGUGACUGGUCCUCUUGAGAAUAACAAGUCGGCUGGACAAAGUUGGAUUCGGUAGGUGUAUGGACGGCCACGUCGGAAAACUCGGUGUUGGUACUGGCGGCCGUAAGAGGUGGUUCCUCAGGCUCGUUGCUUGGUGUUUGGCUACCAGAAGAAGGUCCCGUGGGAGGAGUAACUACCACGCUAACAGUGGGAGAAGAUUCCACAUAGCUGUCUGUUGUAGAGUAGACAGAAAGGGAAGAGGCAGAGCUGGCAGAAGAUGGGAAUGGAGAGUGGAGACUAGAAAAGACCAAAUCGAGUGUGGAAACAGUAACUGUUGACGAGACAGUGUCUGCUGCAGACUUGGCAGCUUGACCAAUGAAUGAAUGGCCAUCAAAUCCUCCUCCGAAUUCAAGAGGUCGGAGCUGAGGCAUGGCUGGUUGUUGGACAAAAAUCGAGUUGCAAGGAAUAUCAAUCUUGAGCGAGGCGGGCUUGGAUGAACGACGGAAGACGCUGCUGAUACGAGUAGCAAAGGAGUUGAUCUUGAAUAAACUACUGUUGGAUAGGGCCUUGGACUGUAUCUAGGUCAGUUUAUGUGGUGGAUAGCGCAUGACUUGAAACGUACCUUUAUAGUGGAGGCAGAGUUGGGCCGGGCCCUGUCCCGAGCGGGGAUAGAUGUCCGCUAAACUCCUUAGCUGCUUCAAUAGUGCUUUCAUUGUUCUGGAUAGACAAACAAGUGAUCAGCCAUAGUAUCUUCAAGCUAUGGUUGAUACUUACUCUAACAUGCUCAGACUGAACGGCAACACCGCCAAAAGCCUUAUUCUUAUUCUUGUUCUUGGGUGACUCGCGGGAAGAGGUUUGGCAGCUUCAAUAGCGGUAGGGCUGUACACAGACAUACGGCGAGGACUAACCUUGUCUUCGGGAUUGAAACAAGGUGCAGCAGCUUGAGCGGCGGUGGGGACGAUCAUAACGGGGUCCUGCUGACCCUGAGAAAUAUUGCUGACGGAGAAGACGGAACAAGUAGACCUGUAUCGAAGAGAGUGGAGAGAAGGGAGAGAAGGUCGCUGGUUGGUAGCAGUUGUAGCAUUAGAGACGGUAGAAGUAGUCUUAUCGAUGGCUUGAGUAGGCAUGUUGGUUUCCUGAGUAUACGAUAGACUAUCAGCCAACAUGCAACCAUCC
This 1809-nucleotide small RNA is filed under the name Cryptococcus neoformans H99. RNAcentral describes it as "Cryptococcus neoformans var. grubii H99 hypothetical RNA". The record is from RNAcentral. Lineage: Eukaryota; Fungi; Basidiomycota; Tremellomycetes; Tremellales; Cryptococcaceae.